AUUGAACGCUGGCGGCAUGCCUUACACAUGCAAGUCGAACGGUAACGGGCCUUCGGGUGCCGACGAGUGGCGAACGGGUGAGUAAUACAUCGGAACGUGCCCGAUCGUGGGGGAUAACGAGGCGAAAGCUUUGCUAAUACCGCAUACGAUCUACGGAUGAAAGCAGGGGACCGCAAGGCCUUGCGCGGACGGAGCGGCCGAUGGUAGAUUAGGUAGUUGGUGGGAUAAAAGCUUACCAAGCCGACGAUCUGUAGCUGGUCUGAGAGGAUGAUCAGCCACACUGGGACUGAGACACGGCCCAGACUCCUACGGGAGGCAGCAGUGGGGAAUUUUGGACAAUGGGCGCAAGCCUGAUCCAGCCAUGCCGCGUGCAGGAUGAAGGCCUUCGGGUUGUAAACUGCUUUUGUACGGAACGAAAAGCCUUCUUUUAAUACAGGAGGGUCAUGACGGUACCGUAAGAAUAAGCACCGGCUAACUACGUG
RNAcentral lists this ribosomal RNA (482 nucleotides) under uncultured bacterium. RNAcentral describes it as "partial 16S ribosomal RNA". It matches the Rfam family "Bacterial small subunit ribosomal RNA", at positions 30 to 507 of the family's 1533-position model. The record is from RNAcentral.